GAUGAACGCUGGCGGCGUGCUUAACACAUGCAAGUCGAGCGGGAAGCUAUUUUAUGAAUCUUCGGAGGAAUAAAAGAGUGGAGAGCGGCGGACGGGUGAGUAACGCGUGGGAAACCUGCCCUAUACAAGGGGAUAGCCUCGGGAAACCGUGAUUAAUACCCUAUAAAACUUUAUGAACGCCUGUAAAUAAAGUCAAAGAUUUAUCGGUAUAGGAUGGUCCCGCGUCCCAUUAGCUAGUUGGUGAGGUAAGGGCUCACCAAGGCGACGAUGGGUAGCCGGCCUGAGAGGGUGAACGGCCACACUGGAACUGAGACACGGUCCAGACUCCUACGGGAGGCAGCAGUGGGGAAUAUUGCACAAUGGGGGAAACCCUGAUGCAGCGACGCCGCGUGAGCGAAGAAGGCUUUCGAGUCGUAAAGCUCUGUCCUAAGGAAAGAUAAUGACGGUACCUUAGGAGGAAGCCCCGGCUAACUACGUGCCAGCAGCCGCGGUAAUACGUAGGGGGCGAGCGUUAUCCGGAAUUAUUGGGCGUAAAGGGUUCGCAGGCGGCCAGGUAAGUCAGAUGUGAAAUCUAUUGGCUUAACCAAUAUAAGCAAUUGAAACUGCUUGGCUUGAGUACAGGAGAGGAAAGCGGAAUUCCUAGUGUAGCGGUGAAAUGCGUAGAUAUUAGGAGGAACACCAGUGGCGAAGGCGGCUUUCUGGACUGAAACUGACGCUGAGGAACGAAAGCGUGGGGAGCAACAGGAUUAGAUACCCUGGUAGUCCACGCUGUAAACGAUGAGUGCUAGGUGUUGGGUGUCGAAGCUCAGUGCCGCAGCAAACGCAUUAAGCACUCCGCCUGGGGAGUACGGUCGCAAGACUGA
This 863-nucleotide ribosomal RNA is filed under the name uncultured bacterium. RNAcentral's name for it is "bacterial SSU rRNA". It matches the Rfam family "Bacterial small subunit ribosomal RNA", at positions 28 to 897 of the family's 1533-position model. The record is from RNAcentral.